AUGAACGCUGGCGGCGUGCCUAAUCCAUGCCCGUCGAGCGAACAGACGAGGAGCUUGCUCCUCUGACGUUAGCGGCGGACGGGUGAGUAACACGUGGAUAACCUACCUAUAUGACUGGGAUAACUUCGGGAAACCGGAGCUAAUACCGGAUAAUAUAUUGAACCGCAUGGUUCAAUAGUGAAAGACGGUUUUGCUGUCACUUAUAGAUGGAUCCGCGCCGCAUUAGCUAGUUGGUAAGGUAACGGCUUACCAAGGCAACGAUGCGUAGCCGACCUGAGAGGGUGAUCGGCCACACUGGAACUGAGACACGGUCCAGACUCCUACGGGAGGCAGCAGUAGGGAAUCUUCCGCAAUGGGCGAAAGCCUGACGGAGCAACGCCGCGUGAGUGAUGAAGGUCUUCGGAUCGUAAAACUCUGUUAUUAGGGAAGAACAAAUGUGUAAGUAACUAUGCACGUCUUGACGGUACCUAAUCAGAAAGCCACGGCUAACUACGUG
Molecule: ribosomal RNA, 496 nt
Filed under: uncultured bacterium
Lineage: Bacteria
Description: partial 16S ribosomal RNA
Rfam family: Bacterial small subunit ribosomal RNA
Source: RNAcentral